GACGAGGGGGGCAAGCGUUAUUCGGAAUUACUGGGCGUAAAGAGCGUGUAGGUGGCUUAUUAAGUCAGAUGUUAAAUCGCACAGCCUAACUGUGUGGCGGCAUGUGAUACUGAUAAGCUAGAGGGCAAGAGAGAGGAGUGGAAUUCUCGGAGUAGCGGUUAAAUGCGUGGAUCUCGAGAGGAACACCGAUGGCGAAGGCAGCUCCUUGGCUUGCAACUGACACUAAAGCGCGAAGGCGUGGGGAGCAAACAGG
RNAcentral lists this ribosomal RNA (253 nucleotides) under uncultured bacterium. RNAcentral's name for it is "partial 16S ribosomal RNA". It matches the Rfam family "Bacterial small subunit ribosomal RNA", at positions 524 to 776 of the family's 1533-position model. The record is from RNAcentral.